Homo sapiens (human) is the source of this 624-nucleotide long non-coding RNA. Ensembl annotates it as long intergenic non-protein coding RNA 1905. NCBI's taxonomy places the organism in Eukaryota, Metazoa, Chordata, Mammalia, Primates, Hominidae. The record is from Ensembl.
AUUGAGAGCCUGGGAAGAAGCUCUACCCAGACAAGGGCAAGAGGUGCACAGUGAGGUGGCUGAAGACAGCAAUAUACAGCCUUCAGCCCUGCACAGGCUGGUCUACCUUUGAUGAAGGUUUGUUUUUCCUCUCUGUCAUACCUCAAGAGGAACACAAAGAGUGAUGGCCUGUCACUCUGAUGCCUCUCUCUACUCAAAUGGCAGAAACCAACCAGUUAGGUUCUGUCAAUAGAAGAUACUAAAGAAAGAAAGCCAGGAGAAGAAAAGGGACUUCUUUCUUCAAGGUCUAAGCUGUUCUAAUAGCAUUAUUCUGGGAAUGGCAUCUUCCACUCCUCCUAGUACAAAGAACCUGCUUCCUCAUACCCCGUCAAGGAACUGCAGCAUCCAGGUGAUGGCCACAGUGGCAGAACCUAGGAAGCCAAGAAGAAACCAGAGAAUGGAGACACAUGGCAGCAAUGGCAAGUCAUCAGACCCAGGAUUUCCCAAAGAACACUGGUCCAGGAAGAUGCUCUGUGAAAAAGUGUUCCCUGGUCGGAGAAAUUUGUGAAACACUUUGCAUAAUACUUAAAAGAAUGUAUGGCACAUCAAAGGUAAUAUGCAAUAAAAGAAUUCAUUUUUUUAAAA